GUAAAGGCUCACCAAGGCGACGAUCUGUAGCUGGUCUGAGAGGACGACCAGCCACACUGGAACUGAGACACGGUCCAGACUCCUACGGGAGGCAGCAGUGGGGAAUUUUGGACAAUGGGCGCAAGCCUGAUCCAGCAAUGCCGCGUGCAGGAUGAAGGCCUUCGGGUUGUAAACUGCUUUUGUACGGAGCGAAACGGUUCUCUCUAAUAAAGGGGGCUAAUGACGGUACCGUAAGAAUAAGCACCGGCUAACUACGUGCCAGCAGCCGCGGUAAUACGUAGGGUGCGAGCGUUAAUCGGAAUUACUGGGCGUAAAGCGUGCGCAGGCGGUUUUGUAAGGCAGAUGUGAAAUCCCCGGGCUCAACCUGGGACCUGCAUUUGUGACUGCAAAGCUAGAGUACGGUAGAGGGGGAUGGAAUUCCGCGUGUAGCAGUGAAAUGCGUAGAUAUGCGGAGGAACACCGAUGGCGAAGGCAAUCCCCUGGACCUGUACUGACGCUCAUGCACGAAAGCGUGGGGAGCAAACAGGAUUAGAUACCCUGGUAGUCCACGCCCUAAACGAUGUCAACUGGUUGUUGGGUCUUUGCUGACUCAGUAACGAAGCUAACGCGUGAAGUUGACCGCCUGGGGAGUACGGCCGCAAGGUUGAAAACUCAAAGGAAUUGACGGGGACCCGCACAAGCGGUGGAUGAUGUGGUUUAAUUCGAUGCAACGCGAAAAACCUUACCCACCUUUGACAUGUACGGAAUCCUUUAGAGAUAGAGGAGUGCUCGAAAGAGAGCCGUAACACAGGUGCUGCAUGGCUGUCGUCAGCUCGUGUCGUGAGAUGUUGGGUUAAGUCCCGCAACGAGCGCAACCCUUGUCAUUAGUUGCUACAUUUAGUUGGGCACUCUAAUGAGACUGCCGGUGACAAGCCGGAGGAAGGUGGGGAUGACGUCAAGUCCUCAUGGCCCUUAUAGGUGGGGCUACACACGUCAUACAAUGGCUGGUACAAAGGGUUGCCAACCCGCGAGGGGGAGCUAAUCCCAUAAAGCCAGUCGUAGUCCGGAUCGUAGUCUGCAACUCGACUACGUGAAGUCGGAAUCGCUAGUAAUCGUGGAUCAGGAUGUCACGGUGAAUACGUUCCCAGGUCUUGUACACACCGCCCGUCACACCAUGGGAGCGGGUUCUGCCAGAAGUAGUUAGCUUAACCGCAAGGAGGGCGAUUACCACGGCAGGGUUCGUGACUGGGGUGAAGUCGUAACAAGGUA
RNAcentral lists this ribosomal RNA (1248 nucleotides) under metagenome. Its description in RNAcentral is "bacterial SSU rRNA". It matches the Rfam family "Bacterial small subunit ribosomal RNA", at positions 257 to 1498 of the family's 1533-position model. The record is from RNAcentral.